GUGAGACAGUUCGGUCCCUAUCUGCCGUGGGCGCAGGAAAUUUGAGAAGAGUUGCUCCUAGUACGAGAGGACCGGAGUGAACGAACCUCUGGUGUUCGGGUUGUUACGCCAGUAGCAUUGCCCGGUAGCUAUGUUCGGACAGGAUAACCGCUGAAAGCAUCUAAGCGGGAAGCCCCCUUCGAGACGAGAUUUCCCUUAGGACUUGAUCCUACUAAAGUGCCGUUCAAGACGAGGACGUUGAUAGGUUGGGUGUGUAAGCGCUGUGAGGCGUUGAGCUAACCAAUACUAAUUGCACGUGAGGCUU
This 304-nucleotide ribosomal RNA is filed under the name Symbiodinium sp. clade D. RNAcentral's name for it is "partial Bacterial large subunit ribosomal RNA". It matches the Rfam family "Bacterial large subunit ribosomal RNA", at positions 2621 to 2925 of the family's 2925-position model. Lineage: Eukaryota; Dinophyceae; Suessiales; Symbiodiniaceae. The record is from RNAcentral.